This 511-nucleotide ribosomal RNA is filed under the name uncultured bacterium. RNAcentral's name for it is "partial 16S ribosomal RNA". The record is from RNAcentral.
GGAGUUAGCCGGUGCUUCUUCUGCGAGUAACGUCACAGAUGUAAGGUAUUAACUUACACCCUUUCCUCCUCGCUGAAAGUGCUUUACAACCCGAAGGCCUUCUUCACACACGCGGCAUGGCUGCAUCAGGGUUUCCCCCAUUGUGCAAUAUUCCCCACUGCUGCCUCCCGUAGGAGUCUGGGCCGUGUCUCAGUCCCAGUGUGGCUGAUCAUCCUCUCAGACCAGCUAGGGAUCGUCGCCUAGGUGAGCCUUUACCUCACCUACUAGCUAAUCCCACCUGGGCUUAUCCAUCAGCGCAAGGCCCGAAGGUCCCCUGCUUUCCCCCGUAGGGCCGUAUGCGGUAUUAGCAGUCGUUUCCAACUGUUAUCCCCCACAAAUGGGCAAAUUCCCAGGCAUUACUCACCCGUCCGCCGCUCGUCAUCUUCAAAGCAAGCUUUUGAAAUGUUACCGCUCGACUUGCAUGUGUUAGGCCUGCCGCCAGCGUUCAAUCUGAGCCAAGAUCAAAUUCUGA